GGCGGGAUGGUGGAAUUGGUAUACACAUGGCACUCAAAAUGCCACGCCGAAAGGCAUGGGGGUUCAAGUCCCCCUCCCGCUACCA
Molecule: transfer RNA, 85 nt
Filed under: Alcanivorax sp.
Lineage: Bacteria; Pseudomonadati; Pseudomonadota; Gammaproteobacteria; Oceanospirillales; Alcanivoracaceae
Also listed under: 2 other names
Description: tRNA-Leu
Rfam family: tRNA
About the family: Transfer RNA (tRNA) molecules are approximately 80 nucleotides in length. Their secondary structure includes four short double-helical elements and three loops (D, anti-codon, and T loops). Further hydrogen bonds mediate the characteristic L-shaped molecular structure. tRNAs have two regions of fundamental functional importance: the anti-codon, which is responsible for specific mRNA codon recognition, and the 3' end, to which the tRNAs corresponding amino acid is attached (by aminoacyl-tRNA synthetases). tRNAs cope with the degeneracy of the genetic code in two manners: having more than one tRNA (with a specific anti-codon) for a particular amino acid; and 'wobble' base-pairing, i.e. permitting non-standard base-pairing at the 3rd anti-codon position.
Source: RNAcentral